GCAGAACGCGAAGAACCUUACCCACCUUUGACAUCCCGUGCUACCUAGAGAGAUCUAGGGUCCCUUCGGGGCGCGGAGACAGGUGCUGCAUGGCUGUCGUCAGCUCGUGUCGUGAGAUGUUGGGUUAAGUCCCGCAACGAGCGCAACCCUCGCUUCUAGUUGCCAGCAUUUAGUUGGGCACUCUAGAGGAACUGCCUGCGCCAAGCAGGAGGAAGGCGGGGAUGACGUCAAGUCCUCAUGGCCCUUACAGGUGGGGCUACACACGUGCUACAAUGGCGGUGACAAAGGGAUAAUCCCUAAAAGCCGUCUCAGUUCGGAUUGUCCUCUGCAACUCGAGGGCAUGAAGUUGGAAUCGCUAGUAAUCGCGGAUCAGCACGCCGCGGUGAA
Molecule: ribosomal RNA, 387 nt
Filed under: uncultured bacterium
Lineage: Bacteria
Description: bacterial SSU rRNA
Rfam family: Bacterial small subunit ribosomal RNA
Source: RNAcentral